RNAcentral lists this ribosomal RNA (637 nucleotides) under uncultured bacterium. RNAcentral describes it as "bacterial SSU rRNA". It matches the Rfam family "Bacterial small subunit ribosomal RNA", at positions 607 to 1244 of the family's 1533-position model. The record is from RNAcentral.
GCUUAACCGGAGAAGUGCAUCGGAAACUGGGAAACUUGAGUGCAGAAGAGGACAGUGGAACUCCAUGUGUAGCGGUGGAAUGCGUAGAUAUAUGGAAGAACACCAGUGGCGAAGGCGGCUGUCUAGUCUGUAACUGACGCUGAGGCUCGAAAGCAUGGGUAGCGAACAGGAUUAGAUACCCUGGUAGUCCAUGCCGUAAACGAUUAGUGCUAGGUGUUGGAGGGUUUCCGCCCUUCAGUGCCGCAGCUAACGCAUUAAGCACUCCGCCUGGGGAGUACGACCGCAAGGUUGAAACUCAAAGGAAUUGACGGGGGCCCGCACAAGCGGUGGAGCAUGUGGUUUAAUUCGAAGCUACGCGAAGAACCUUACCAGGUCUUGACAUACUAUGCAAACCUAAGAGAUUAGGCGUUCCCUUCGGGGACAUGGAUACAGGUGGUGCAUGGUUGUCGUCAGCUCGUGUCGUGAGAUGUUGGGUUAAGUCCCGCAACGAGCGCAACCCUUAUUAUCAGUUGCCAGCAUUAAGUUGGGCACUCUGGUGAGACUGCCGGUGACAAACCGGAGGAAGGUGGGGAUGACGUCAAAUCAUCAUGCCCCUUAUGACCUGGGCUACACACGUGCUACAAUGGACGGUACAACG